GCAAGUCGAGGGGCAGCAUUCACUUCGGUGAGAUGGCGACCGGCGCACGGGUGCGUAACGCGUAUGCAAUUUACCCAUUACUGGGGGAUAGCCCGGGGAAACUCGGAUUAAUACCCCAUGGUAUCAUAAAGCAGCAUUGUUUAAUGAUUAAAGAUUUAUUGGUAAUGGAUGAGCAUGCGUCUGAUUAGUUAGUUGGUAAGGUAAUGGCUUACCAAGACGAUGAUCAGUAGGGGGUCUGAGAGGAUGAUC
RNAcentral lists this ribosomal RNA (249 nucleotides) under uncultured bacterium. RNAcentral describes it as "partial 16S ribosomal RNA". It matches the Rfam family "Bacterial small subunit ribosomal RNA", at positions 57 to 305 of the family's 1533-position model. The record is from RNAcentral.